This is an RNA transcript of Entelurus aequoreus (snake pipefish), 1864 nucleotides long. It is a transcript of the gene named crystallin, beta A1a, with no coding region annotated. The transcript is spliced from 7 exons. NCBI's taxonomy places the organism in Eukaryota, Metazoa, Chordata, Actinopteri, Syngnathiformes, Syngnathidae. The record is from RefSeq and is a predicted model, not a curated record.
CACGUAUAAAAAGCGCCGUGUGCUCGUGGCGGUCAGGACCUGGUCUUUGUGGACGCUACUCUGUGGGGCCUGCACAGUAUUAGAAUCUAAAUCUCUGCUACCAGACGGGACAGCAUGGCUCUCAACAAGCCCGACCUGCUGGGACCGUGGAAGAUCACGGUGUACGACCAGGAGAACUUCCAGGGCAAGCGGAGGGACUUCACCUCCUCCUGCCAGACCUUGGCGCAGUGCGGCAUGGACAACAUUCGCUCCCUGAAGGUGGAAUGUGGAGCUUGGACCGGAUAUGAACACUCCAGCUUCUGUGGACAGCAAUUUGUGUUGGAGAGAGGAGAAUAUCCUCGUUGGGAGUCUUGGAGCGGCAGCAACGCCUACCACACUGAGAGGAUGGCGUCCUUCCGCCCCAUCUGCUGCGCUGACCGCAAGGAGUCCAAGAUUGUGGUGUAUGAGAAGGACAACUUUGUGGGACGGCAGUGGGAGAUAAGCGACGACUGCCCGUCACUGCAGGCCAUGGGCUGGGGGACCAAUGAGAUCGGGUCCAUGAAGGUCCAGAGCGGCGCAUGGGUGUGCUACCAGUUCCCUGGUUACCGCGGUUACCAGUACGUCAUGGAGUGCGACCGGCAUGGCGGCGAGUACAAACAUUACAGGGAAUGGGGCUCCCACGCUCAGUCUUUUCAGGUGCAGUCGCUGCGUCGCAUCCAGCAGUGAGACCUGACCAUUCCUUUAAAAAUCAUCCUCCCCGUUAAGCAUUCUAGUACCACUUACUUAAUGCUUCCCCUUAUAAGCAUUCUAGUACCCCUUACUUAAUGCUUCCCCUAUAAGCAUUCCAGUACCCCCUUACUUAAUGCUUCCCCUUAUAAGCAUUCCAGUACACCCUUACUUAAUGCUUCCCCUAUAAGCAUGCCAGUCCCCCUUACUUAAUGCUUCCUCUAUAAGCAUUCUAGUACCCCUUACUUAAUGCUUCCCUUAUAAGCAUUCCAGUCCCACUUACUUAAUGCUUCCCCUAUAAGCAUUCCAGUCCCCCUUACUUAAUGCUUCCCCUACAAGCAUGCCAGUACUCCCUUACGUAAUUGCUUCCCCUAUAAGCAUUCUAGUAGCCCACUUACUUAAUGCUUCCCCUAUAAGCAUUCCAGUACUCCCUUACGUAAUUGCUUCCCCUAUAAGCAUUCUAGUAGCCCACUUACUUAAUGCUUCCCCUAUAAGCAUUCCAGUACCCACUUACUUAAUGAUUCCCUUAUAAGCAUUCCAGUACCCCCUUACUUAAUGCUUCCCCUUAUAAGCAUUCUAGUCCCACUUACUUAAUGCUUCCCCUAUAAGCAUUCCAGUACUCCCUUACGUAAUUGCUUCCCCUAUAAGCAUUCUAGUAGCCCACUUACUUAAUGCUUCCCCUAUAAGCAUUCCAGUACCCACUUACUUAAUGCUUCCCCUAUAAGCAUUCCAGUCCCACUUACUUAAUGCUUCCCCUAUAAGCAUUCCAGUACCCCCUUACUUAAUGCUUCCCCUAUAAGCAUUCUAGUAGCCCACUUACUUAAUGCUUCCUCUAUAAGCAUUCUAGUACCCCUUACUUAAUGCUUCCCCUACAAGCAUUCCAGUAGCCCCUUACUUAAUGCUUCCCCUAUAAGCAUUCCAGUACUCCCUUACGUAAUUGCUUCCCCUAUAAGCAUUCUAGUAGCCCACUUACUUAAUGCUUCCCCUAUAAGCAUUCCCGUACCCCCUUACUUAAUUUCUUCCCCUACAAGCAUUCUAGUACCCCACUUACUUAAUUAUUCCCAUAUAAGCAUUCCAGUACGCACUGGUGUCUUUAGAUGUCUGUGAAGUUAAGAUGUCACCAAAAUGGACGAGUAUAUAAUAAAGAGUCUGAUGCUAA